AAUGAACGUUGGCGGCGUGGAUUAGGCAUGCAAGUCGUACGGGUCGGUGUAGCAAUACAACGGCAAGUGGCGAAAGGGAGAGUAACACGUAGAUACCUACCCUCUGGUCGGGGAUGCCGCGGCAUAACCGCAAGUAAUACCCGAUAAAAUCUCCGGAUCAAAGGUGUGAUUCCGCCGGAGGAGGGGUCAGCGUUCUGUCAGCUUGUUGGUGAGGUAAUGGCUCACCAAGGCUAAGACGGAUACGGGGUGUGAGAGCAUGCCCCCGCUCACUGGGACUGAGACACUGCCCAGACACCUACGGGUGGCUGCAGUCGAGAAUCUUCGGCAAUGGGCGCAAGCCUGACCGAGCGACGCCGCGUGCGGGAUGAAGGCCUUCGGGUUGUAAACCGCUGUCGAGGGGGAUGAAGUGUAGGUGGGUACUCCCAUCUAUUUGACAGAUCCCUGGAGGAAGCAUGGGCUAAGUUCGUGCCAGCCGCCGCGGUAA
RNAcentral lists this ribosomal RNA (484 nucleotides) under uncultured bacterium. RNAcentral describes it as "partial 16S ribosomal RNA". It matches the Rfam family "Bacterial small subunit ribosomal RNA", at positions 29 to 523 of the family's 1533-position model. The record is from RNAcentral.